This 435-nucleotide ribosomal RNA is filed under the name uncultured bacterium. RNAcentral's name for it is "bacterial SSU rRNA". It matches the Rfam family "Bacterial small subunit ribosomal RNA", at positions 29 to 456 of the family's 1533-position model. The record is from RNAcentral.
AACGAACGCUGGCGGCGUGCCUAACACAUGCAAGUCGAACGGAGUUAUAGUUGUAGCAAUACAGGUAUAGCUUAGUGGCGGACGGGUGAGUAACACGUAGGUAACCUACCCUUAGGCGGGGGACAACUCAGGGAAACUUGAGCUAAUACCGCAUAAACCCACGGGCUGGGAUGCUUGUGGGAAAAGUGGCAACACACCUAAGGACGGGCCUGCGGCCUAUCAGGUAGUUGGUGGGGUAAGAGCCCACCAAGCCGAAGACGGGUAGCCGGGCUGAGAGGUUGGACGGCCACACUGGAACUGAGACACGGUCCAGACUCCUACGGGAGGCAGCAGUGGGGAAUCUUGCGCAAUGGGGGAAACCCUGACGCAGCGACGCCGCGUGGAGGAUGAAGGUCUUCGGGUUGUAAACUCCUUUUCUUGGGGAAAAUGAUGAUG